This 284-nucleotide ribosomal RNA is filed under the name Peripatoides aurorbis. RNAcentral describes it as "partial 12S ribosomal RNA". Lineage: Eukaryota; Metazoa; Onychophora; Udeonychophora; Euonychophora; Peripatopsidae. The record is from RNAcentral.
AUUUUGACGGUAUUUAAUUUUCCAGAGGAAUAUGUAAUUUAAUCGUCAACACACGUUAGAUCUUACUUAUUUUAUUUUUGUAUAUCUCCGUUGCCAGAUUUUAUUUAAAAUAAUAAAAAUUUUCCUCAAAAAGAAUUUUUGAACAUCAGGUCAAGGUCCAAAAUAAAUAAGUUAUUAUGUAUUUCAAUCAAAUAUAUUGUAUAAAUAAAUUUUGAAAAUAAUUUUGAAAUUGAAUUUGUAAGUAAAAUAUAUAUAGAAAAUGUAUUUGAAAUUAAUUAAAUAUG